Long non-coding RNA from Carassius gibelio (silver crucian carp), 1872 nucleotides. RefSeq lists it as uncharacterized. The record is from RefSeq and is a predicted model, not a curated record. The transcript has 2 exons. Lineage: Eukaryota; Metazoa; Chordata; Actinopteri; Cypriniformes; Cyprinidae.
AAAAAAAAACUUUUAUACCUAUAAACACCAGCGAUCCAGAAAACAUAUUUAGAUGUUUUAGUCUACUCAUACAUGUUCAAACUUUGGAUUCAUUAGCUUUUUUUUUGCCAUUUCUAUCGUUUAUUGUUCACUGCUGUGUUGCUAUUUAUUCUAGUCUGCUUGUCUCCUGGAAAAAAACUAUUAUAUUGUGUAACCCGGUUAAAAAAGCAUGAGCUGAUACGUGAUGAUUGUAGUAGGCCUAACAUUUAAUUAACAGAGUGUAUAAAUAGUGUGAUUUAAAAGGUUGACAUUCAUUUAAAAAGUUGUUAUAAAAAGGUUAAAAGCCGUUUAAAAAUUAUUUUGUUUAUUGUUUCAUGGUAAAAGAUUAUGUUAUUCUGAAAACUGUCCAAACCAGCAUUUAUGUGGUUAAGACCGAUGGGGCGGAGAGUCAGAGCUCGCGGGUUUGUUUAGAGCAAGGACAGCGAGAGGAAAGAGAAAAAAAGAGUGUGUGAGACGAACGGAGAUUUUCUGAUUUAAUUUGUGAGUUAGUAGUGCACAAACCAGUGUGUAGAUUGUGUCUUAUGAUUGUUUACACAACAACCGGUGAGAGUGACAAGCUGCAUAUUGCAAAACGGGAGGAAUUUCUGCACGAAGUUCAGUGACUGUUUAUUUUUGUGUUACUGCUAAUAUUAACGAUCAGAUAAAUUUAAGUAUAAGCUGGAGUCCGUUCAUUACAAGUGAAUGACAUUUUCUAGCCAAAGUUUGACUAGCUCAGUUGAACUGUUUGAGGGGUUUAUCUGCUGUUUUCGACCUGAAGACGGAAGGGACUCAGACUGAUCUUGGAUUUACAAGGAUUUCUCUCGUGAGUUUUACCGAAACUGUGAGGAGAAAAGAGAAACAAAUAGAGUUCGUGCUGAAAGGCUGAUCGGAUGUGGAGCCUGCUCAUUUGAUUGUUGGAGAAGGACUGGACAGAAACGUUAUCAUCAGGUAUUUUUUCCUUUUGUUUGCUCAUUGACGAGCGAAGCGGCCAUUACUUUUGGGCCACAACGAACACAAGCCUCGCAUCAGGCCUGCUACGGGGACUGCAGAUGAAAAAUAUCCACUGGUGAGACACGUCUCCAGAAGACUCCACGCUAUUGCCUCUGAUAAACCAGUCUUACAGAAAGCAGUGUGUGACCGGCCAGCCCCAGCACGGGAGAUCGACACGGGCACCCAGCACAUAAGGACACAGAGGAAAGACGGGCAGAUAACGGAGCACCAGUACACGUCACCACACACCAUGGCACUUCAAACCUAUUCCAAACAUAUUUUUAUUCAGACAUAUAGUAAUAGAUACUUAUAGUGUUAAUAAAUGGUUUAUUAACAUGUAUUUCUACUGUAAUUCAGGGUUUAUUCAGGUUGUUAUAAAACAUAUGUAGUUGUUAGUUAACUAUUUUUGUGAGCUCAUCUAAAGUGAGGACUAUUUAUGCCUUGUAAAGCUUUUACAAAUGAGAUUUAAAGGCUGUUAAUAUUUCAAUGUUCUGUAUCACUGUGUUGUGUUUGUUUCUGUUUUUUGUUUAGAAGAUAACUGAGCCGAGUUACUUACUCUAAUGUUAUUUUGACACGUGACAUUCUUUGUUCCCGAGGAACAUAUAAAAAGUUAUUUUGUAGAAUGUCUCAUCUCCACACAUUGAAAGUCAAUGGGGUCAAUAUUCACACUUAACUCUUUGAUUAGUUGAUCGUUUUCAUCUUGUGAUAUGCAAGAACCAAUGAGGUAAAGUUGUUGAUGCAUCAACAUAUCUGGGUUGGAUUCUGAAAACAGAAACAUUCAGAAUGCAAUAGAAAAUGAGUUUGAAACAACAUGACAGUCAACAAAUAAAAGCAUUUUAUUAAAUGCACUAUUCAUUAUGUCUA